RNAcentral lists this unclassified non-coding RNA (377 nucleotides) under uncultured Acidimicrobiia bacterium. RNAcentral's name for it is "contains 16S-23S intergenic spacer region". Lineage: Bacteria; Bacillati; Actinomycetota; Acidimicrobiia. The record is from RNAcentral.
UCGCGGCUUAUCACCGGCAGUCUCCCAAGAGUCCCCGGCAUUACCCGUUGGCAACAUGGGACAGGGGUUGCGCUCGUUGCGGGACUUAACCCAACAUCUCACGACACGAGCUGAGGACAGCCAUGCACCACCUGUGUAGGACCCCGAAGGACACCGUUUCUCUACGGCUUUUCCCUACAUGUCAAACCCAGGUAAGGUUCUUCGCGUUGCCUCGAAUUAAGCAACAUGCUCCGCCGCUUGUGCGAGCCCCCGUCAAUUCCUUUGAGUUUUAGCCUUGCGGCCGUACUCCCCAGGCGGCAGACUUCCCGCGUUAGCUCCGGCACGGAGGGGGUCAAGUCCCCCCACGCCUAGUCUGCAUCGUUUACUGCGUGGACUAC